UUCUGCUUGCGCAGUCAGUCUCUGCAGAGUUCCCGGCAUUACCCGAUGGCAACAGCAGAUAGGGGUUGCGCUCGUUGCCGGACUUAACCGAACACCUCACGGCACGAGCUGACGACAGCCAUGCAGCACCUCGACUAGCGGCUCUUGAUGUAAUCUCAAGCACCCGAACUUUCAUCCGGUAGCACUAGCCGUUCGAGCCCAGGUAAGGUUCUUCGCGUUGCGUCGAAUUGAACCACAUGCUCCACCGCUUGUGCGGGCCCCCGUCAAUUCCUUUGAGUUUCAAUCUUGCGAUCGUACUCCCCAGGCGGGAUACUUAAUGCGUUAGCUUCGGCACAACCACCACUGCGGUGGUCACACCAAGUAUCCAUGGUUUAGGGCGUGGACUAC
RNAcentral lists this unclassified non-coding RNA (387 nucleotides) under uncultured bacterium. RNAcentral's name for it is "contains 16S-23S intergenic spacer region". The record is from RNAcentral.